AAGGAUGAAAUCAUUAGAUAUUUCAUUUACAAUGAAAAUUUGCGUUAAGCCAUCUUUA
Molecule: transfer RNA, 58 nt
Filed under: Argas sp. San Antonio ARK-2022a
Lineage: Eukaryota; Metazoa; Arthropoda; Arachnida; Ixodida; Argasidae
Also listed under: 1 other name
Description: tRNA-Val
Source: RNAcentral